CGAUGAGCGGGCCGCAGCCUCCCUGCCCCUCCCCUUUCUGCAGACAAACAGAUCCAUGAACGUCUUUGUUUUCCUGGUCUGAGCUGGAAGCUGGAUCAGAACCGGACGACUGGAUAGUCAGGAUAUUCCCGCCAUUUUUGUUGCAUCACUAAUGUUAUGUUGGGGAGUUAGGGGCUGUAAGCUAGUGGGAAAGUGUGUAUGCAAAGGGAUGAUGGGAAAUGAGUGCAGGCUUACUCUGCACCAACCGUCCCCCCCCAACUCAGAGGUGAACUUCUAAUGAACUCCUGCUGCUCUGCAGAAACUAUGUCUUAGAAAACAACACAGGUUUUUAGAUUUUGGCUAAAAUCAGCAUCAUUAUAAUAAUAAUAAUAUAUAAAAUAAUAAUUAUAAUAAUAAUUAAAAAACUACUGGGAACACUUUUGAAGUAGAUCAAAAGACGUUUGGAGUGACUUCAAGACUUCUGUUUGCAGUGAGAGAGCGGGUCCUGCUGAGGCAGGACCACCAAAUCCUCCUGGGGGAGAAGAUGGUCGAGUUAAAGCUGACGUCAGAAGCGAGUCACCUGGAAAAGAACUCAACAAACAAGCAGACACAUCCAGGAGCAUCUUCAGAUUUAAAGAGUCCAGAGUCAGAAGAUGAACCUGAAGAUGGAUCAGCAAAGCCAGACAUUGAAGGUUGGUCCUCUUUUCCAUCAGAGGAGAUGCAGAGUGAUGAGUCUCUGUCUUCAGUUUAGGAUCAAAUAUUCUUUCUAAACUGGUGAAAGUUGAAGGACAGAAACCCGUAUCAACUACUGCAGA
This 794-nucleotide long non-coding RNA is filed under the name Oryzias sinensis (Chinese medaka). Its description in RNAcentral is "lncRNA (ENSOSIG00000003220.1)". The record is from RNAcentral. Lineage: Eukaryota; Metazoa; Chordata; Actinopteri; Beloniformes; Adrianichthyidae.